UCCAACUUAAAAAUUUAAAUGCAAAAGCUAGAAAUGGUAAUUUUUGGUAAACGUGUUUUGAAGGGUAGAAUCAAAGUUUACGUUUAAAGAAAGAAAAUACAGCCAAACAAAAAAGUGAUCUUGUUUACGUGAGAGUUGGAUUGAAGCUCCAAGGGGGAAUAGAGAGCACAAACGAUGGUUGCUAAGUUUCUUUGCUGUUAUCUAAAAUAUUUGGCUUGAAAGAAAUGACAGGAUUUUUAAGAACAAGCACUUGGGUGUAGAGGAUAUCAUCAAGAGAACGGUGAACAGCUACCAAGAAUGGCAACGUGUUGAGUCCAACAGUUGUUGAUGGCUAUGCCAGAGAUGACUAGGUGUUAGAACUGUUUUAUUUGUUAUAUGUUCAUGCACUCCACCUUGUUGUGUUGAGUAUUUACUUCAAAAAAAAAAAAAAUCAAACAACCAAUGGUAGUUGAAGAGAAGAGAAGCACCUUAUACUAUGGUAAUUGUAGAUAGUAUUUUUACAUGAAGGAAGAAGCAUUUCAAAUGCUUAUACACAUGAACAUAAGGAAUCAAAUGGAAGCUGAAAUGCUUAUAAAGUGCACUGUUUUCACUAACUAUGUGUGAUUUUUUUUUGUCACGAAAAAAUUAUAAAACACAUUUAUAUUUCUGAGAAGUGAUCACCUGAUUGGCACCUGCAGUAA
This 680-nucleotide long non-coding RNA is filed under the name Arachis ipaensis. RNAcentral describes it as "long non-coding RNA (AIPA_LNC002096)". The record is from RNAcentral. Lineage: Eukaryota; Viridiplantae; Streptophyta; Magnoliopsida; Fabales; Fabaceae.